Molecule: long non-coding RNA, 1125 nt
Organism: Oncorhynchus tshawytscha (Chinook salmon)
Lineage: Eukaryota; Metazoa; Chordata; Actinopteri; Salmoniformes; Salmonidae
Source: Ensembl
GUUGUUACGUCCGUCGUCGGAAUGAGACCAAAGCACAGCGUGGAAAGUGUACAUCUUACUUUAUUUUAGAUGAAUGAGUUUUUAGAAUGUCACCAGAGGAGAUGGCUGACGUUUUACGGGCUCCUAACCAAUUGUGCUAUUUUGUGUGUUUUUUCACGUUGUUUGUAACUUAUUUUUUAUGUAAUGUUUCUGCCACCAUCUCUUAUGACCGAAAAAAGCUUCUGGAUAUCAGAACAGCGAUUAUUUACCUCGUCUAACGAGUCGGACGCAAAGGAUUUACUUCCCGUCAUUCGCUUGAAGAAAAGACACCGAUACUGGGGACGCAGGUCCGGGUGCCUUGUUAUAAUUUGUUGGCGAAUGGGUAACCUGUCUUUACCAUCCGUCCUAUUGGCCAAUGUGCAAUUAUUGGAGAAUAAACUGGAUGAGCUCUGUUCAAAACUAUCCGACAAAUGGGACAUUAAAAACUGUAAUAUCUUAUACUUCACCAAGUCGUGGCUGAACGAUGAUAUGGAUAAUAUACAAUUGCCUGGUUGUUCUGUGCAUUGGCAAGACAGAACAGCUGCAUCUGAUCCACAGAUGACGCAAUCUCUAUUGCAUUCAACACUGCCCUUUCCCACCUGGAUAAAAGGAACAACUAUGUGAGAAUGCUGUUCAUUGACUACAGCUCAGGGUUCAACAACAUUGUGCCCUCAAAGCUCAUCACUUAGCUAAGGAUCCUAGGACUAAACACCUCCCUCUGAAACUGGAUCCUGGACUUCUUGACAGGCCAACCCCAGGUGGCAAGGGUAGGCAACAACACAUCUUCCACGCUGAUCCCAGGGGUGCAUGCUUAGUCCCCUCCUGUACUCCCUGUUCACCCAUGACUGGGUGGCCAAGCACGACUCCAACAUUAAGUUUGCCGCCGACACAACGGUGGUAGGCCUGAUCAUCCACAACGAUGAGACAGCCUAUAGGGAGGAGGUCAGAGACCUGGCAGUGUGGUACAUCACUGGGGACAAGCUUCCUGCCAUCCAGGACCUAUAUUAUAGGCUGUGCCCAAAAAUUGUCAGAGACUCCAGUCACCUAAGUCAUAGACUGUUUUCUCUGAUACCGCACGGCAAGCGCACCCUGGUUAUAGCCUCGUUA